Molecule: long non-coding RNA, 6351 nt
Filed under: Daucus carota (carrot)
Lineage: Eukaryota; Viridiplantae; Streptophyta; Magnoliopsida; Apiales; Apiaceae
Description: long non-coding RNA (DCAR_LNC001285)
Source: RNAcentral
GUUUCUCCUUUAUGGAAUUGGAACCAGAUAAGACGCUACGAGCUAAGCUGGGUGAUCAGCCCACGACAUAGCUCCGAACCCGCAUAUUCAAUACGAGUUCUCAAAUAUAAAGGAUCCUAGGCACACUUUGGCCUUUAAUAAUUCAAUUGGGACCGGCGCCUCGGUCAUAAAACAUUUUCAUCCAAUUCCCUUUCGAAAACAGAUAAAUCAAAUCAUUUUUCAUUUUAAAACCAAGGUUCAAAAUCUGUAAGCAACAAUGAUUCUCAACCAAAUAUUCAUUUCAACACCUUAGCAUUAGAGUUCUACUAAUUAAGUAUUCUUUAUCAAGGGUAUAGGUUACUGAAUCAAGUGUAUCAAUGUAUUUUAUAAUAAUGGCAGGGUAGGUUGUAUGAUGAUAACUAAGGUCUUUCAAGAAAUGGGGUUUCUUUUAUGGGUCAGAAACAAACAAGUGAACUUGUUUUAGUUUAUAAGCAAGAACACAAUUUGUUGUAGUUAAGAGAGAGGUAAGAAAACAAGAUUCUAAGCUCAAUAUUAAGUAACUGGCAGUUGAAGAAGAUAAGGAUGACAAUUAAGUUGAUACAUUUUCAAAAUAUAAGUGACAAAGGGUAUUCCAUUUCAUACUUGGACGCCCCCCCUAUCAAGCAAGAAAGAAGCGGCGGCUUUCAUCGUUGAUGAACACAUGCGCUAAUAAGGGGUGAUUCCAGAAUACUAGUUAAUUAGUAGAAGUCUAAUUCUAUGAGGAGUUUUGCAAUAUUCAAAGCAUAACAAAAGCAUUGCAGGAGAAAAAUCUUUUAAAGAGAAAGUAGGUUGGAUAUAUACUUGCCUUUAACUCCGGUGUCUAUCUCAAAUUUCUAUUAACACUAUGUAGUGCCAUAUCAUUCCUUUCAGCUAGCUUCUGACAAGAUUCUAUCAAUAGCAAAUCUCUGCCUAACUUCAACUUGCAACACUACCUUGGCUAUUUCUGAAUAUCCAUUUCAAUCACUUCUCGAUCCAUGCCACGAUCAACAUCUCGUUCAACUCUAUACGAUAAUAAAACAGUAUUUCAGUCGUCAAAUCCGACUGAUUAACUAACUCCAAAAGGCAUUAAGACCUAUAUAUAACUACCCUUCGCAUAUACAUACCACGUAGCCAGAUAAACACAUAGCACAUAGUUGAACAAUUAACUUUUAUAGAUAUUAAAAGUCAAUAUUGAUAAGUUAACAUAUAACAUGUUUCAGUUAACCAUGUCACCUUAUUCUAAUCUAUUUAAUAUCCUUUAACAAGUAAAACAUAUAUAGUUUCUAACGAAAAUUCGACAGCACUUCCUCUAUUUAUCGGACUAUCCACCUGUUUUCUUAUAUUAUUCAACAAGUAACCAGCUCAAUCCAACUCAAUAAACCAAUAAGUACGGGACCAAUAUCAGUUAAAACACAAUAUCACAGUAUGCACACUCACAUCGCUAGAUUUGAAAUCAUAUAUCACUGUUAGACAUGAUUAACACUGAUCAACCAAGUAUAACCUCCUCCUAUGCACUAAUCAAAGAAAGAAAACUAGAACAAAUAGUUCAAACAGCCCUCACUCUAUGAUUUUUAAUAAAUUGAAAAUUUAUCUUUUUAAUACAAAAUUUUUAUGAGACACUCCUAAACAUUAUUCCAAUCUACUAUAAAAAUUUCAGAAGCAAAUUCCAUGUUUAAGAGAGUAAAACAGGGCCUGCAAGUCAAGAACCUGAAUCUGUCCUGCAGAACCAGCCCCACGCUAAGAAUUUUAAUAAAUAGAAAAAUUGGUCUGUUUGUAUAAAAUUUUAAUGACAUAUUCCAGACACUAACAUCUAACUCCAGUAAAAAUUUCAGAAUUAAACACCAAGUAUAAGGCCUCCAAACAGAGUCUGCAAUCAGUACAACAGACCCUGUCGAGGAACUCUGCGCACGAAGCACCUCUUUGAUCAUAACUUUUAACUCAAUUAUGAUUAUAAUCUAAUUCUUUCGCAGGUGUAAUCUACACUCCAAAUUGUAACUUGUCACCAAAAUUCAUUGAAAUAUAACAUUCUUAAGACAACUAAAUGUUUGUACCAAAAUAGUAGAAAAUGGUAGCCACUCGAGAACCAAUCUGCACCUAUACAACUCAAUCGCUUAUAACUUUUAAUACAUUUAGCAAAACAUAGUAAUUCUUUUUCAUACUUAAUCUAAACUUCAAGAAACAUAAAAUCACCGAGAAAUCAAGCAUAUCAUACGAACUAAACAAUUCCAAAACAGAGAUUCAAAACAAGACAGCACUGCUACGGAAGCUUGACAACAAUUGACUCAAUUCUAAUGCCACAACUCAAACUAAUCAAAACCCAUAUAACUACAUAUCUUUAUAUGUGUAAUCUGAUUCGAAUUAAAAAAAAAUACUAAUUCACAGCUUUAGACAUCACACAAGCAGGUCUGUACAUAUACAUACACACAAAACCAAUAAAGGAGACAAUUCAAAAUAUACCCAAUUAGAAUAACCAGAGGUGUAGGUGGGUUGUGGCCAAUAGAGUUAAUUGACCGGAGAACUGAAGUAUAAGGCUGGCUUCGAGGGCCACUGUGCAGCGACUGGAGAUGUGGUAGGAGGCUAGGAGCGGAGGAUGGCAGCUACGGAGAAAUCCGGCGGCGGCAGGACAACCCGACAAAGCACGGUGCCGGGAAACGAAGCAGCGGGUACAAAGGUGAAAGAUGGAAGCGGGUGAGUGUUCAGAGAGAGAGAGAGAGACGCGAGAGAUUGAGGGAUAGCAAGGGAUUGAGGGAGAUUGAGAAACAGUGACGAGAGAGAAUUGAUGAGAGACGAGGGUUUUAGAGUCUGUAAAUUAGGGAAGAAAGAUGUACGUGGCAGUAGAAUAGAAAGGAUACAUGACCACGCGGCUUAAUUAUAACCUGCCAUCUAUUAUUUUAUAUAUUGACUAAUCAACUAUCAAAUACCCGCUUUUAACUGAUUUACGGAGAUAAAUCACAGCAAAAUUUCUCCCGACAACUACCGAAAUAUUUUUAUAAAUCCCGAAAUAUCAUAAAACUAAUCAAAUAAAAGUUUCGGGAUUUAUAGAGCAUUUUCAAAAUUUGUACAAAUUUCUGAAAUUAGUUGUGUUUAGGAAAUAUUUAAAAAUCAUACCUUUAUAAAAAUAAUAUAUUUAAUACUUUAAAACUCCUUAAAAUAUUUAUAAUCAUUUUCAAGUAAUUAAAAGAAUUUUUCAAAUCAUUUUUAUUUUCUUAGAAAUUCAUUUUUUUGUAAUCCAUUUUUAAGUAAAUCAUAAAUAUUUAUAAAACAACACAGCAGUUACUAACAAAUAUACACACAAGCAUAAAUCACAUCCAGAUAAUAAAGUUAAAUCAUGGAACAAGUAAUUCACAUAUUUUACAUGGUAUUCAAUUCAAAACAGACAACAAAUUUCAAUACCCUAAUGAACCGGAAAAAUAAUUUAAACAAAUACUUUUAAAAUUUAUUAAACUAGAAUAAAAUAUUAGAUUUUUAUUCCACAUUUUCUGAAGAAUCACAAAUAAACUAACAAAAUAAAUUUCCAAAGAUCCGGGUCGUCACAAUCUACCCCCCUUAAAAGGAUUCCGUCCUCGGAAUCAGCGAGAAGCAAACUAAAGCGUAUGAUCUCUAUAUCCGUCAUACUUUUUCUUUCUUCUAUAAAUUUUUUGUUGAUCGCCUCCGUAUACCCGCAUUGUCAUCCGUUUUCAUCCCUGGUGCUUCAUACUACAAAGUCUUAAUUCAUGUUGGCAACUUGGUUGGCAUACCUCCAAAGUCUUAGAGAUAACAAGAAUCUUGAAGAUUUAAAAGUAUGACUGAUUUCCUAUAUCGAAGCAAAUGUCACGUGACUGUGGUCAUAUGAUUAUGAGUUUGUUGAAUAAAUCUUAUUUGAAUGAGAGAAUAACUGAGAGACCAAUAUGAUCUAAAGAACUCGGUGUUGCGUGUCUAUAUUACGACACUACUAAAGGUAGUUAACCUUCUUGUAAUGUACAACACACACAAGUGAUGGCGUCCCAUCCAACUCCUAUCACACAGAUAGGUAGUCCUUGUGUCCCCUAUCAGUAGGGUUGUUCACCUCAGUUAGAGUAGAGAAUAUGAAAGCGUUUGAAAUUAUUAAAAUUGAAUAGAUUCUAAAGAUGUUACAGUAAGCACAAGUAUCAUUCGAGAACUCAAGUUAAAGGUAAAAAUAUAUUCUUUAUCAAAUAUCUUUGUGAAAGUGAUGUCAGAACAAAUCAUUGAUGGGGAAGGAAAUCAAUAUAAUUAACAAUGAGGAAGGUAUUGCCAGGAUUCUCACAGAUGUCUUCUUGAUCGAUUCCUUUGAUGACUCGUUCUGAUUCCAGUGAUUCUUCUUGACGUUCUAGUGAUCACUUGCAUAUAUUAUCGUUGACUCGUAAUAGCCUCUGCAGAUCCCAUCAUUGAUAUCGUUGUCGAUCAAAAGUCUUAUCCAAAUUUAUACAAUCAUCACCAUAGAGCGUUGACGUCUUAACUCACUCAUAACUACUAUAUCGAGUAAUCUAACACGAAUUCUAUGUAGCUCCAACGCUCACUACUUAACUAUAUACAAAGUUUUAAACUCGAACCUGGUAACACCUAUAUUCUUUCACCAAUUCCAUAUAUCUCUGAUAAGAAUCAAAAGGUGACUCUCCAAAUAAUACUCAACACUUGGAGGAUACUAUAAAGAAUACAUUAGACUGUGUUAGAAACACUAGUCCAACCUCAAGUGGUUCUAAUUUCAAAGUUCUUAUAAUAGUCUAACUCUGAUCCUCUCUAUAUGACUUACUAAAUUAGUCAAUAUACUAGGGCUAGAAGAACUAGAAUUAGGAAUUGUGAUGUCUAUAACUAUAAACACUUAAACUUAAUCAUCUAGCUCCAUUUUAUUCUGCUUAGAAAGACUAUCCCCAAAUAGUCUUACGGUACCUCUAUGUGAGGUUACACCACGUAAUCCUUUUUAUCAAACCUAUUAUUACAAUCUACAUUCUGAUUUCAAUAACUUAUAACCUGUAGCUCUGAUACCAACUGUGACAUCCCUCAAAUCCGGGGGUCUGGAUCUGGUGCCACUAAAAGAAAAACAAUUGAAAACCAGUAUUUUUUUUUCUAAAGAAAGUAAAAACAAGUAUUUCAAACCUGGAUAUUAAAAAAAUUGAUUUACACUUUUGAAACAUGUAUUGUUGAAAAACUAAUAAAAAUCAAAGAAUUGAAAACCUAAAAGCUUUAAUAAAAGAUUUAAAAGAACAAAGUUUAACCCCCUUUAAAAGAGGAUCGCAAACAGGCUAUAGUAUUGAAAUCAGAAAAGUAAAACUAAUAAAUCCUAUUACAUGUUUUUACAACUAAAUCAAAUUUAGUCAACUCCAAUUACCACUAGUCCCACAGACUCGAUCUUGAUUACUCUUCCUGACCAUCAGGUUGAAACUUAAUCACUUGCAAUCCUCGCCUAGCCUUACUCUUACGCUUAGCAUAAAUAGGCGAACCAUCUUUAACAUUAUCUGAAAGGGGUUAGAAGAAAUAGCAAGAAUGAGCAAAAGAAUGCUCAGCAAGUAUAUAAUAUCCAAACCAACAAUAAAUCAAACAGUAUGUAAAACCUGACAAUGAUAUAAAGAUAAUGAUACCAACACAAUAUGAUUUAAACAAAACAGUUUCUCCUUUAUGGAAUUGGAACCAGAUAAGACGCUACGAGCUAAGCUGGGUGAUCAGCCCACGACAUAGCUCCGAACCCGCAUAUUCAAUACGAGUUCUCAAAUAUAAAGGAUCCUAGGCACACUUUGGCCUUUAAUAAUUCAAUUGGGACCGGCGCCUCGGUCAUAAAACAUUUUCAUCCAAUUCCCUUUCUAAAACAGAUAAAUCAAAUCAUUUUUCAUUUUAAGACCAAGGUUCAAAAUCUGUAAGCAACAUUGAUUCUCAACCAAAUAUUCAUUUCAACACCUUAGCAUUAGAUUUCUACUAAUUAAGUAUUCUUUAUCAAGGGUAUAGGUUACUGAAUCAAGUGUAUCAAUGUAUUUUAUAAUAAUGGCAGGGUAGGUUGUAUGAUGAUAACUAAGGUCUUUCAAGAAAUGGGGUUUCAUUUCUGGGUCAGGAACAAACAAGUGAACUAGUUUUUUUUAUAAGCAAGAACACAAUUUGUUGUAGUUAAAAGGGAGGUAAGAAAACAAGGUUCUAAGCUCAAUAAUAAGUAACUAGCAGUUGAAGAAGAUAAGGAUGAUAAUUAAGUUGAUACAUUUGCAAGAUAUAAGUGACAAAAGGUAUUCCAUUUCAUACUUGGGUAAUUCCAGAAUACUCGUAAUUAGUAGAAGUCUAAUUCUAUAAGGAGUUUUGCAAUAUUCAAAGCAUAACAAAAGCAUUGCAGGAGCAAAAUCUUUUAAAGAGAAAGUAGGUUGGAUAUAUACUUGC